AACUGGAGUCUGAUUUGCAGACUACCCCUUGUCGCAUUCCAUGUCCUAGUGCAGGAUCCAUUGGUAUAAACAAGCAGAAAACGUGACUGAAUGACAACACAUAGCAAACACACAGAUGAUGCUGGUUUCAUACCAAGAGCUGCAAGAAAGACCAGCUCAAAAGGGAUUGUUCCAUGUUUGUCUGUUUCGUGCUAACGUCUUUUGAACGCUGUUCCGCAAUUACGCUCCUUUGUGAUGUAUCUUUGGGUCUGGCCCAACCCAUGGUCUGCUACAACUGCAUAGGAAAUAGCAACAAAAAAAAAGUUUGGAUUUACUUUGUGAUAUAGAACUGUCAACUGCAAGGGAGUUCUUGUGUUUGGAUUUUCAAGAUCAAAUCACCUCAAGAAGCUGUAGAGUCUAAGACCCACACAUUUAAGACUAGGAUAUUCAGGAAUCCCCAUAGCUGUGGUUUUUGUAAGGAGAUCAUAUGGAAUGAGGGUAGAAUAUGCAGAGUAUGUAGAUUUGCUUGCCACAAACGGUGUGAAUACAAGGUAAGUGCUACCAAUUUCCAUUCUGCCAGUUUCUUCUCCACUUAACUGAUGGCCAAAAAUGAUAUAUUAUUUGAAUUGAGCCAAGAGAGUCUAUAUGGAUAAAUACACAUUUUGAUGGGGAAAUUAAUUUCACAUUUGGCAUGAUUAGUGUGAGAGGUCAGAGCAAUGAAAUCGUGUUUCGGAGCCAGAACAGCAUUAAGUCAUAUGAUUUUGGACCAAGAUAAUGUCCUUCUUGCGCCAAGCAAAUGGAAUGAAUUAGACAUUCCAUUUAUUUCUCAUGGGAGACAUUCACUACAUUAGGAGUAAUCUGGCAACAACAUAUGGGUUAGGGGAAAAAGAAGGAAAUGUAAAAUUUAGAAAUACAGAGCGAGGUUUGAGAAAAAAAGUCAUGGGAUGUUUUAGAAAAUUGUGAGAGACACCCCCAAAAGGAGAAUAGCUAUACUGAGAAAUAACAAUUUUCAGUUGAUGCUGAGCCUGCAGAGUACAAACUUGUUGAUUUAUAGGUAACAAUACCACAUAAAUCGUUUAUUGAGCGCCAUUAUCAUUUCCUUGAAUAUAAGCCAUUCUUCCUCCCACUUGAUUUCCAUCUUCAAACAAUGUCACAAUUUCCUUCCAACAAGCGUGACCGCAAUCAUUUUAGCCUACACGAAGCAGAAACGGACAUUAGGGUUGACCGUAUAAUCCAUUCAUGUAUCAUCUUGGAAUAUUUAACAAAUAAAGUCGUAAUAUCCUGAAAUAUUCAACAAAUAAAAUCGUAAUUAAGGAUCAUAAAUUUGCAAUAUCCUGUUUCGAGUUUGGCAGUCGUGGAGUGAAAUAUUAUUGGAGAUAUUCAUUCAACCAGGUCAGGCAUGUUAUUAGCCAAUUUGAAGGGCAACUUGAGUCGGCAAUCAAUCUGUUCAUGCAAGAAAUCAUCAGGCUUCAGAAAAAACGUGCAAACUAUAAAAGGAAUGUGAAUGAGAAUGCAAAGUUAUCUUUUGUUUUGCAUUAUAGGUUAUUGAAUCAUAAUGCUGUUGGCUGGUAAAAGGGCAUUGCUGUG
Molecule: unclassified non-coding RNA, 1566 nt
Filed under: Lytechinus variegatus (green sea urchin)
Lineage: Eukaryota; Metazoa; Echinodermata; Echinoidea; Temnopleuroida; Toxopneustidae
Description: protein BZZ1-like, transcript variant X2
Source: RNAcentral